CCAGAACCAUCGCUUUCACCAAGUCCUGCAUCUCCUGGCUGAAGGUCUUCUCCUCUCACUCCGCAGGCUUACCGCGACCUCCUCCGCGGAACCCCUUCUGUCUAGAACUCAGCGAAUCUCCGGUUCCACAACAUGAGGAAAUACUUUGCACUUCUGUUAGGUGCUACCCUGCUCUUAUCCAUGGGAGAGCCUGCAGUGGUCACUGG
Molecule: non-coding RNA, 206 nt
Organism: Pelobates cultripes (western spadefoot toad)
Lineage: Eukaryota; Metazoa; Chordata; Amphibia; Anura; Pelobatidae
Source: the annotation of a GenBank genome assembly